GACGAACGCUGGCGGCGUGCUUAACACAUGCAAGUCGAACGGAAAGGCCCUGCUUUUGUGGGGUGCUCGAGUGGCGAACGGGUGAGUAACACGUGAGUAACCUGCCCUUGACUUUGGGAUAACUUCAGGAAACUGGGGCUAAUACCGGAUAGGAGCUCCUGCUGCAUGGUGGGGGUUGGAAAGUUUCGGCGGUUGGGGAUGGACUCGCGGCUUAUCAGCUUGUUGGUGGGGUAGUGGCUUACCAAGGCUUUGACGGGUAGCCGGCCUGAGAGGGUGACCGGCCACAUUGGGACUGAGAUACGGCACAGACUCCUACGGGAGGCAGCAGUGGGGAAUAUUGCACAAUGGGCGGAAGCCGGAUGCAGCAACGCCGCGUGCGGGAUGACGGCCUUCGGGUUGUAAACCGCUUUCGCCUGUGACGAAGCGUGAGUGACGGUAAUGGGUAAAGAAGCACCGGCUAACUACGUG
RNAcentral lists this ribosomal RNA (468 nucleotides) under uncultured bacterium. RNAcentral's name for it is "partial 16S ribosomal RNA". It matches the Rfam family "Bacterial small subunit ribosomal RNA", at positions 28 to 507 of the family's 1533-position model. The record is from RNAcentral.